UGUUACUUUCUCUAAACUCAGGAUUAUUGAAGUUUUGGUCAUACUAUUGGAAGCCCUUACUAGUUAGACCUUCCUAAACUAACCAGAACAUAUCUUUUUAAUAAAAAAUAAUAACCAUAUUCUCAUUUUCAAAGUUUGCAAUUAAAAACUACAGUAAAAGAAUAAACUGAGAAGAAAUUUCUCUUUGGUUAAAAAAAGAAUGUCAUUAAAUUCAUCAGAACAAUAUGAAAUGAAGAUGUUCUUGUUGGGUCCUCCUUUGUGAUGAAAAUCAAGUAGGCUAACUGGCUUAGUUAAGUCCAUAAAUUCUUCAUCGCAUAACAUUUCAACAGUAAUUUCCAAACACAUAAAUUUUGGGGUAUAAGAAAAAAAAUGCCAGGGGCUGGGAAUAUGGCCUAGUGGUAGAGUGCUUGCCU
This is a long non-coding RNA of Perognathus longimembris pacificus (Pacific pocket mouse), 413 nucleotides long. RefSeq lists it as uncharacterized. Lineage: Eukaryota; Metazoa; Chordata; Mammalia; Rodentia; Heteromyidae. The record is from RefSeq and is a predicted model, not a curated record. The transcript is spliced from 3 exons.